This 1629-nucleotide ribosomal RNA is filed under the name Escherichia coli. RNAcentral's name for it is "partial 23S ribosomal RNA". It matches the Rfam family "Bacterial large subunit ribosomal RNA", at positions 1235 to 2843 of the family's 2925-position model. The record is from RNAcentral. Lineage: Bacteria; Pseudomonadati; Pseudomonadota; Gammaproteobacteria; Enterobacterales; Enterobacteriaceae.
AGCGUUCUGUAAGCCUGUGAAGGUGUGCUGUGAGGCAUGCUGGAGGUAUCAGAAGUGCGAAUGCUGACAUAAGUAACGAUAAAGCGGGUGAAAAGCCCGCUCGCCGGAAGACCAAGGGUUCCUGUCCAACGUUAAUCGGGGCAGGGUGAGUCGACCCCUAAGGCGAGGCCGAAAGGCGUAGUCGAUGGGAAACAGGUUAAUAUUCCUGUACUUGGUGUUACUGCGAAGGGGGGACGGAGAAGGCUAUGUUGGCCGGGCGACGGUUGUCCCGGUUUAAGCGUGUAGGCUGGUUUUCCAGGCAAAUCCGGAAAACUAAGGCUGAGGCGUGAUGACGAGGCACUACGGUGCUGAAGCAACAAAUGCCCUGCUUCCAGGAAAAGCCUCUAAGCAUCAGGUAACAUCAAAUCGUACCCCAAACCGACACAGGUGGUCAGGUAGAGAAUACCAAGGCGCUUGAGAGAACUCGGGUGAAGGAACUAGGCAAAAUGGUGCCGUAACUUCGGGAGAAGGCACGCUGAUAUGUAGGUGAAGUCCCUCGCGGAUGGAGCUGAAAUCAGUCGAAGAUACCAGCUGGCUGCAACUGUUUAUUAAAAACACAGCACUGUGCAAACACGAAAGUGGACGUAUACGGUGUGACGCCUGCCCGGUGCCGGAAGGUUAAUUGAUGGGGUCAGCGCAAGCGAAGCUCUUGAUCGAAGCCCCGGUAAACGGCGGCCGUAACUAUAACGGUCCUAAGGUAGCGAAAUUCCUUGUCGGGUAAGUUCCGACCUGCACGAAUGGCGUAAUGAUGGCCAGGCUGUCUCCACCCGAGACUCAGUGAAAUUGAACUCGCUGUGAAGAUGCAGUGUACCCGCGGCAAGACGGAAAGACCCCGUGAACCUUUACUAUAGCUUGACACUGAACAUUGAGCCUUGAUGUGUAGGAUAGGUGGGAGGCUUUGAAGUGUGGACGCCAGUCUGCAUGGAGCCGACCUUGAAAUACCACCCUUUAAUGUUUGAUGUUCUAACGUUGACCCGUAAUCCGGGUUGCGGACAGUGUCUGGUGGGUAGUUUGACUGGGGCGGUCUCCUCCUAAAGAGUAACGGAGGAGCACGAAGGUUGGCUAAUCCUGGUCGGACAUCAGGAGGUUAGUGCAAUGGCAUAAGCCAGCUUGACUGCGAGCGUGACGGCGCGAGCAGGUGCGAAAGCAGGUCAUAGUGAUCCGGUGGUUCUGAAUGGAAGGGCCAUCGCUCAACGGAUAAAAGGUACUCCGGGGAUAACAGGCUGAUACCGCCCAAGAGUUCAUAUCGACGGCGGUGUUUGGCACCUCGAUGUCGGCUCAUCACAUCCUGGGGCUGAAGUAGGUCCCAAGGGUAUGGCUGUUCGCCAUUUAAAGUGGUACGCGAGCUGGGUUUAGAACGUCGUGAGACAGUUCGGUCCCUAUCUGCCGUGGGCGCUGGAGAACUGAGGGGGGCUGCUCCUAGUACGAGAGGACCGGAGUGGACGCAUCACUGGUGUUCGGGUUGUCAUGCCAAUGGCACUGCCCGGUAGCUAAAUGCGGAAGAGAUAAGUGCUGAAAGCAUCUAAGCACGAAACUUGCCCCGAGAUGAGUUCUCCCUGACUCCUUGAGAGUCCUGAAGGAACGUUGAAG